This 442-nucleotide ribosomal RNA is filed under the name uncultured Bacteroides sp. RNAcentral's name for it is "bacterial SSU rRNA". It matches the Rfam family "Bacterial small subunit ribosomal RNA", at positions 355 to 794 of the family's 1533-position model. The record is from RNAcentral. Lineage: Bacteria; Pseudomonadati; Bacteroidota; Bacteroidia; Bacteroidales; Bacteroidaceae.
UGAGGAAUAUUGGUCAAUGGGCGAGAGCCUGAACCAGCCAAGUAGCGUGAAGGAUGAAGGUCCUACGGAUUGUAAACUUCUUUUAUAAGGGAAUAAAACGCUCCACGUGUGGAGCCUUGUAUGUACCUUAUGAAUAAGCAUCGGCUAACUCCGUGCCAGCAGCCGCGGUAAUACGGAGGAUGCGAGCGUUAUCCGGAUUUAUUGGGUUUAAAGGGAGCGCAGACGGGAUGUUAAGUCAGCUGUGAAAGUUUGCGGCUCAACCGUAAAAUUGCAGUUGAUACUGGCGUUCUUGAGUGCAGUUGAGGUGUGCGGAAUUCGUGGUGUAGCGGUGAAAUGCUUAGAUACCACGAAGAACUCCGAUUGCGAAGGCAGCCUGCUAAGCUGCAACUGACAUUGAGGCUCGAAAGUGUGGGUAUCAAACAGGAUUAGAUACCCUGGUAGU